UGAACACUAGUUUAAUUAUGGCUCUCAAU
RNAcentral lists this non-coding RNA (29 nucleotides) under Mus musculus (house mouse). Lineage: Eukaryota; Metazoa; Chordata; Mammalia; Rodentia; Muridae. The record is from RNAcentral.